Molecule: ribosomal RNA, 253 nt
Filed under: uncultured Candidatus Solibacter sp.
Lineage: Bacteria; Pseudomonadati; Acidobacteriota; Terriglobia; Bryobacterales; Solibacteraceae
Description: partial 16S ribosomal RNA
Rfam family: Bacterial small subunit ribosomal RNA
Source: RNAcentral
UACGUAGGCUCCAAGCGUUGUUCGGAAUUACUGGGCGUAAAGCGAGUGUAGGCGGUCCGUCAAGUCGAUUGUGAAAUCUCCCGGCUCAACUGGGAGGGUGCGGUCGAAACUGACGGACUAGAGUUCGGGAGAGGAGAGUGGAAUUCCUGGUGUAGCGGUGAAAUGCGUAGAUAUCAGGAGGAACACCGGUGGUGAAGACGGCUCUCUGGACCGAUACUGACGCUGAGACUCGAAAGCGUGGGUAGCAAACAGG